Molecule: ribosomal RNA, 432 nt
Filed under: uncultured bacterium
Lineage: Bacteria
Description: bacterial SSU rRNA
Rfam family: Bacterial small subunit ribosomal RNA
Source: RNAcentral
GCUAAACGCGAAGAACCUUACCUGGGUUUGACAUGCACAGGACGCAUCCAGAGAUGGGUGUUCCCUUGUGGCCUGUGUGCAGGUGGUGCAUGGCUGUCGUCAGCUCGUGUCGUGAGAUGUUGGGUUAAGUCCCGCAACGAGCGCAACCCUUGUCUCAUGUUGCCAGCACGUUAUGGUGGGGACUCGUGAGAGACUGCCGGGGUCAACUCGGAGGAAGUGGGGAUGACGUCAAGUCAUCAUGCCCCUUAUGUCCAGGGCUUCACACAUGCUACAAUGGCCGGUACAAAGGGCUGCGAUCCCGUGAGGGUUAGCGAAUCUUUAAAGCCGGUCUCAGUUCGGAUCGGGGUCUGCAACUCGACCCCGUGAAGUCGGAGUCGCUAGUAAUCGCGAAUCAGAAUGUCGCGGUGAAUACGUUCCCGGGUCUUGUACACA